GACGAACGCUGGCGGCGUGCUUAACACAUGCAAGUCGAACGGAAAGGCCCCCACCUUGGUGGGGGUGCUCGAGUGGCGAACGGGUGAGUAACACGUGGGUGAUCUGCCCUGUACUUCGGGAUAAGCUUGGGAAACUGGGUCUAAUACCGGAUAGGACCAUGGUUUAGUGUCUCAUGGUGGAAAAAUUAUUGUUUUGGUGCAGGAUGAGCUCGCGGCCUAUCAGCUUGUUGGUGGGGUAAUGGCCUACCAAGGCGUCGACGGGUAGCCGGCCUGAGAGGGUGGACGGCCACAUUGGGACGGAGAUACGGCCCAGACUCCUACGGGAGGCAGCAGUGGGGAAUAUUGCACAAUGGGCGCAAGCCUGAUGCAGCGACGCCGCGUGGGGGAUGACGGCCUUCGGGUUGUAAACUCCUUUCGUUAGGGACGAAGCCACACCUUUUUGGGGUGUGGUGACGGUACCUUUGUUAAGAAGCACCGGCUAACUACGUG
RNAcentral lists this ribosomal RNA (489 nucleotides) under uncultured bacterium. RNAcentral describes it as "partial 16S ribosomal RNA". It matches the Rfam family "Bacterial small subunit ribosomal RNA", at positions 28 to 507 of the family's 1533-position model. The record is from RNAcentral.